Molecule: ribosomal RNA, 812 nt
Filed under: Pestalotiopsis funereoides
Lineage: Eukaryota; Fungi; Ascomycota; Sordariomycetes; Amphisphaeriales; Sporocadaceae
Description: LSU rRNA
Rfam family: Eukaryotic large subunit ribosomal RNA
Source: RNAcentral
UAGUAACGGCGAGUGAAGCGGCAACAGCUCAAAUUUGAAAUCUGGCCCUCGGGUCCGAAUUGUAAUUUGUAGAGGAUGAUUUUGGUGCGGUAUCUUCCGAGUUCCUUGGAACAGGACGCCUUAGAGGGUGAGAGCCCCGUACGGUUGAAUGCCUAGCCUCUGUAAAUCUCCUUCGACGAGUCGAGUAGUUUGGGAAUGCUGCUCUAAAUGGGAGGUAAAUUUCUUCUAAAGCUAAAUAUUGGCCAGAGACCGAUAGCGCACAAGUAGAGUGAUCGAAAGAUGAAAAGCACUUUGAAAAGAGGGUUAAAUAGCACGUGAAAUUGUUGAAAGGGAAGGAUUUGUGACCAGACUUUUUCUGGGCGGAUCAUCCGGGGUUCUCUCCGGUGCACUUUGCCCAGUAAAGGCCAGCAUCGAUUUUCGGCGGCGGAUAAAAGCAGUGGGAAUGUGGCUCCCCACGGGGAGUGUUAUAGCCCAUUGUAUAAUACGCUGCUGGGGAUCGAGGUACGCGCUUCUGCAAGGAUGCUGGCGUAAUGGUUAUCAAUCACCCGUCUUGAAACACGGACCAAGGAGUCGAACAUUUAUGCGAGUGUUUGGGUGUUAAACCCUCACGCGUAAUGAAAGUGAACGGAGGUGAGAGCCCGUACGGGUGCAUCAUCGACCGAUCCUGAAGUUUUCGGAUGGAUUUGAGUAAGAGCAUAACUGUUCGGACCCGAAAGAUGGUGAACUAUGCGUGGAUAGGGUGAAGCCAGAGGAAACUCUGGUGGAGGCUCGCAGCGGUUCUGACGUGCAAAUCGAUCGUCAAAUCUGCGCAU